Molecule: long non-coding RNA, 5776 nt
Organism: Oncorhynchus nerka (sockeye salmon)
Lineage: Eukaryota; Metazoa; Chordata; Actinopteri; Salmoniformes; Salmonidae
Exons: 2
Source: RefSeq, a predicted model, not a curated record
CGACAGGAUUGUUAAGAAAAGGAUAAGCUUGAGAACAGGCAUAUUUAUUUCGUUUCAUUUGCGAUUUUUAAAAAUCGCUAACGUUGCGUUAUGCUAAUGAGCUUGAGGCUGUAGUAACGAUACCGCAUGCGGGAUGGGGCGGACUAAGAGGUUAAAUAAAGGUUAAAUAAAAAUAAAAUAAAUAAAAAUCGUACUAAAUGGAUUGCUUCGGAACAUACAGAAUAAUACGUAAUGCUCUGAGACCAGGUUGGCAGAUAUACUGCUGGUAUCAACAGCUGUGGUUACUUCGGGGGAAACUUGUAUCCACUUCUGUAUUGGUAGGCAGCGCUGCUAUACAUAUUGUUGUACAUACAUGUUGGAGACAGUUCUAGUUUGCAUGCUUAACCUACUGUUCAACCGUGGUAGUUGUGCUACAUCGGGGCCUGAGAAUAAUGCUUCAGUUAUAAUAAAUUCGCGGAGCAAGUCCAUCUCAAUAGAUUAGACUAAAAACGCCUGCCCUAAAUCUCAUCUCAUCUCCUCUCCUCCUUCUCUGAUCUGAAGACACAAGAUUAGCACCGAGGUAAAGUUAGUUUCAGGUUGUAUAUUCGACGGAUAUUCGCCUGUAGUUUUCCUUACAUCCACCAACAGCAGUUAGGGACCGGCAACAUAGUGACAAAUCAACAUUUUCAAAAUUCAAUAGCUCUUUAACCAUUACUCCUAACAAUUUCAAAAUUGGUUGUAGCUAACCCGAUGGCAUAGACACACAUUGCACACCCUGUAGUUUGUCCAUUUUCAUCUCACAUGGUUUUACAUGAAUUUUUCAAAAUGUUGAAUUUCAAUAGCUCUUUUGUCAUGUGAUCUGGUGAAUUCAAGCACGUUUCAGAAUGUCCACUCAGUGGGCCUACACAUUGCACACCCUUGAGUUUGUCCAUUUUUAUCUCACAUGGUUUUACAUGCAUUUUACACAUUUUAGAAUUUCAAUAGCUCCUUGGUCAUGUGACCUGGUGACUUCAAACAAGGCUCAGAAUGUCCACUCAGUGGGCCUACACAUUGCACACCCUUUAGUUUGUCAAUUCUUUUUAUAUAUACAUAUAUAUAUUUUUUUUGAUCUCAGAUGGUUUUACAUUAAUAGUUUGUAAGUAGUAAAUAAAUAGUUUGUAAGUUUAUGAGAAACUUAUUUGCUUAAAAUGGGCGGAGACCAGUCUCAAAAUCAAGCACUAGCGUUUAUUCUCGAGAGUACUGAACACGAUUCAAUUUACCACAGGUCAUAAACUGAAAAUGACGUCAUUAGUUUUCGAACUGCCCCGUCUCUUCUCCACUCCGGUACAAUGGCAGUGUAGUUCUCAAGCCUUCCCACAUCGUCUCCCACCAAUUUAGAUAAUUUAUGACCGAGCCAAGGUCUUCCUGUGUAGAUAAGCAUUCUAGCCAGUCUGACGAUAAGUUCAUUCGUUUCUACCAAGGAACAGACAGUCAUUGUUCUAAUUCUUGAUUAUAAUGACACACAUUAUAUUCAGUACUAGGAUUCAAAUACAAUUCAUACAUCUUAUACAGUAACAUAAUAGUAUUCUGAUUAGUCAAUCCUGAUUGAAAUGUAUACAUAAUUAGUCAUUAUUGAUAAAAAAAAAUCCCUUAACAGUUUCUCAAAUGACUGUCUCGCCUGGUUCACCAACUACUUCUCAGAGUUCAGUGUGUCAAAUGGGAGGGCCUGUUGUCCGGACCUCUGCCAGUCUCUAUAGGGGUUCCACAGGGUUCAAUUCUCGGGCCGACUCUUUUCUCUGUAUAUAUCAAUGAUGUCGCUCUUGCUGCUGGUGAUUCUCUGAUCCACCUCUACACAACCGACACCAUUCUGUAUACUUCUGGCCCUUCUUUGGACACUGUGUUAACAACCCUCCAGACAAGCUUCAAUGCCAUACAACUCUCCUUCUGUGGCCUCCAACUGCUCUUAAAUGCAAAUAAAACUAAAUGCAUGCUCUUCAACCGAUCACUGCCCGCAUCUGCCACCCCCCUAGCAUCACUACUCUGGACGGUUCUGACUUAGAAUAUGUGGACAACUACAAAUACCUAGGUGUCUGGUUAGACUGUAAACUCUCCUUCCAGACUCAUAUUAAGCAUCUCCAAUCCUAAAUUAAAUCUAGAAUCAGCUUCCUAUUUCGCAACAAAGCAUCCUUCACUCAUACUGCCAAACAUACCCUCAUAAAACUGACUAUCCUACCGAUCCUUGACUUCGGCGAUGUCAUUUACAAAAUAGCCUCCAACACUCUACUCAGCAAUUUGGAUGCAGUCUAUCACAGUGCCAUCCGUUUUGUCACCAAAGUCCCAUAUACUAACCACCACUGCGACCUGUAUGCUCUCGUUGGCUGGCCCUCGAUUCAUAUUCGUCGCCAAACCCACUGGCUCCAGGUCAUCUAUAAGUCCUUUCUAGGUAAAGCCCCGCCUUAUGUCAGCUCACUGGUCACCAUAGCAGCACCCACCCGUAGCACACGUUCCAGAAGGUAUUUUUCACCCAAAGCCAAUUCCUCCUUUGGCUGCCUUUCCUUCCAGUUCUCUGCUGCCAAUGACUGGAACGAAUUGCAAAAAUCACUGAAGCUGGAGACUCUUAUCUCCAUCACUAUCUUUAAGCAUCAGCUAUCAGAGCAGCUAACAGAUCAUGCACAUGUAUGUAGCCCAUCUGUAAAUAGCCCAUCCAACUACCUCAUCCCCAUAUUGUUAUUUAUUUUUAUAUAUUUAUUUUUUUGCUCCUUUGCACCACCAUCUCUAUUUGCACAUUCAUCUUCUGCACAUCUCACUCCAGUGUUUAUUUGCGAAAUUGUAAUUAUUUUGCCACUACGGCCUAUUUAUUGUCUUUCCUCCCUAAUCUUACUUAAUUUGUACACACUGUAUAUAGACUUUUGUAUUGUGUUAUUGACUGUACGUUUGUUUAUUCCAUGUGUAACUCUGUGUUGUUGUUUGUGUCACACUGCUUUGCUUUAUCUUGGCCAGGUCGCAGUUGUAAAUGAGAACUUGUUCUCAACUGGCUUACCUGGUUGAAUAAAGGUGAAAUAAAAAAAUAAUCAAAUACUGUAUGUGGGAAUGUCUUAUGUCCGUCCUACAUGUAGUGUUGGUACAUGGACUAUUCCUCAACUGCAUAUAUCAUAAAUUGCUAUUGAAAAUAGAAGUAUUAUUUUCAACAACUGACAUUUUCAGAUUUUAUUUUGACACACACUUGGUGCUUACAAUUCAUUCUCUACUGUCAUAGAUUUGGUGGGCACUGUCAUCUGAUCUUUGUGAUAUGACUUUCUUUAAGCACGUACUGAUGAAACUGUCACUUAAUAUUUUUUUCUUAAAGUCUAAAAACGCUCUACAGUCGUGGCCAAAAGUUUGGAGAAUGACACAAAUAUUAAUUUCCACAAAGUUGGCUGCUUCAGUGUCUUUAGAUAUUUUUGUCAGAUGUUACUAUGGAAUACUGAAGUAUAAUUACAAGCAUUUCAUAAGUGUCAAAGGCUUUUAUUGACAAUUAGAUGAAAAGAGUCAAAAUUUGCAGUGUUGACACUUCUUUUUCAAGACCUCUGCAAUCCGCCCUGGCAUGCUGUCAAUUAACUUCUGGGCCACAUCCUGACUGAUGGCAGCCCAUUCCUGCAUAAUCAAUGCUUGGAGUUUGUCAGAAUUUGUGGGGUUUUGUUUGUCCACUCCCCUCUUGAGGAUUGACCACAAGUUCUCAAUGGGAUUAAGGUCUGGGGAGUUUCCUGGCCAUGGACCCAAAAUAUCUAUGUUUUGGACCCCGAGCCACUUAGUUAUCACUUUUACCUCAUGGCAAGGUGCUCCAUCAUGCUGGAAAAGGCAUUGUUCAUCACCAAACUGUUCCUGGAUGGUUAGGGGAAGUUGCUCUUGGAGGAUGUGUUGGUACCAUUCUUUAUUCAUGGCUGUGUUCUUGGGCAAAAUUGUGAGUGAACCCACUCCCUUGGCUGAGAAGCAACCCCACACAUGAAUGGUCUUAGGAUGCUUUACUGUUGGCAUGACACAGGACUGAUGGUUGCACUCACCUUGUCUUCUCCGGACAAGCUUUUUUCAGGACGACCCAAACAAUUGGAAAGGGGAUUCAUCAGAGAAAAUGACAGUACCCCGGUCCUCAGCAGUCCAAUCCAUGUACCCUUUGCAGAAUAUCAGUCUGUCCCUGAUGUUUUUCCUGGAGAGAAGUGGCUUCUUUGCUGCCCUUCUUGACACCGGGCCAUCCUCCAAAAGUCUUUGCCUCACUGUGCGUGCAGAUCCACUCACACCUGACUGCUGCCGUUCCUGAGCAAGCUUUGUACUGGCAGUGCCCCGAUCCCGCAGUGAAUCAACUUUAGGAGACGGUCCUGGUGCUUGCUGGACUUUCUUGGGCGCCCUGAAGCCUUCUUCACAACAAUUGAACCGCUCUCCUUGAAGUUCUUGAUGAUCCGAUAAAUGGUUGAUUUAGGUGCAAUCUUACUGGCAGCAAUAUCAUUGCCUGUGAAGCCCUUUUAGUGCAAAGCAAUGAUAACGGCACGUGUUUCCUUGCAGGUAACCAUGAUUGACAGAGGAAGAACAAUGAUUCCAAGCACCACCCUCCUUUUGAAGCGUCUAGUCUGUUAUUCGAACACACUCAGCAUGACAGAGUGAUCUCCAGCCUUGUCCUUGUCAACACUCACACCUGUGUUAACGAGAGAAUCACUGACAUGAUGUCAGCUGGUCCUUUUGUAGCAGGGCUGAAAUGCAGUGGAAAUGUUUUUUGGGGAUUCAGUUCAUUUGAAUGGCAAAGAGGGACUUUGCAAUUAAUUGCAAUUCAUCUGAUCACUCUUCAUAACAUGCUGGAGUAUAUGCAAAUUGCCAUCAUACAAACUGAGCCAGCAGACUUUGUGAAAAUACAUAUUUGUGUCAUUCUCAAAACUUUUGGCCACGACUGUACAUUUAUUCACUCUGUGAUAGGGUUGGAUCCUAUAUGCCACUUUUAGUGUCCUGUAAAUGGUUCAGUGCCUAUAAUUUAGGCUGUGUGUAGAAUGGGGCAUAAAGGAAAUUACCUCUACUAAUAAAUUACUACUAGAUUAUAGUGAUAAGGAAAACAGCAUACAAAUUUGGCUUGUGUAUUCAUUUGCCUAUUGUUAAUCAUAAUUCCAUUAUUUUUACAUAAAAAAGAGAAUACUUCAAAAUGAGAAGAUCCUGCCAUGGAAAAGACGACUGGGCGGACAUAAAGGAGGGAAAAUAACUCACACCAUGCAGCAGGACACCUUCAGCUGUGGGGUCUUUGUAUUGCAGGUUUGAUAGUUAUAUUUUCAAUAAUGAAUGGUUAGCUGUUAUUUUUUGGUGUAGAUGGCCAAGGAAGUUGCACAGAACUUCCCCAACAUCCCUUCCCAAAUUAAUAUGGAACCUUCAAAAACACAUGGAGCAACUGUGAAAAGAAAUGGCUGAGGAUAUAUUAAAAAUGUCUGGUAUGUAAUGACAUUUAAUUCAAAGUAAAUGUAAAUUCUUUAUUUUUAUGUAGUAGUGUGGGACAGCCAUAUGUUCAGUUCAUGCCUCUGAUGUCAGAGUUCAACAAAGCCAACAACUGCUUCAUGUGUGUCACUGAUAAAGAACCAUGGAUGUGGCCCAAAGACUGACUGGGAAUGAAGACAGAGUUCAACAUAGUAAAGAACACAAACUGGAAGUGCAGUCUUUGUUGUUGAAAAUGUAUGCUAUACCCCACCAACACUGAAGAGAUAAAACCAGGGAUAAAGAGAAAGUUAACACUGUGAAAUGUUUCAUGCUUAAUUGAAGUUAAGUGUCUGUUGAUAUUUUGGAAAAGAUUAAAGGUCUACAAUUUGUUUAA